CCACGGGCCCCUCUGCGCCGGGCAGCAGGGACAGAGCCACGCACGCAGAGCGUGGCCCUGGUGGCUCCUGUCCCCCAGGUCCCCACACUGGAGCUGAGAAGUCGGAGCACCCCGGAAUUUGGUACUUGGCAGCCACCCCUGCUGCCACCACUGCCACCGUCUGCCUGGCACCCGUCCCCGUUGUGCCUUACGUGCCCUCCGUGCUCUUCUGCUCCCCAGCAGUUCCUACCUCAGCCCCAGCCCUGGCCGGGGUCCCCCUCGGUGUCACUGCGGGGUCCCGGC
This is a non-coding RNA of Sturnus vulgaris (Common starling), 282 nucleotides long. The record is from RefSeq and is a predicted model, not a curated record. Lineage: Eukaryota; Metazoa; Chordata; Aves; Passeriformes; Sturnidae.